AUUGAACGCUGGCGGCAUGCCUUACACAUGCAAGUCGAACGGUAACGCGGGGGCAACCCUGGCGACGAGUGGCGAACGGGUGAGUAAUACAUCGGAACAUAUCCAGUAGCGGGGGAUAACCUAUCGAAAGAUGGACUAAUACCGCAUCCGAUCUACGGAUGAAAGCAGGGGACCGCAAGGCCAUGCACUAUUGGAGUGGCCGGUGUCGGAUUAGCUAGUUGGUGGGGUAAAAGCCUACCAAGGCGACGAUCCGUAGCUGGUCUGAGAGGACGAUCAGCCACACUGGAACUGAGACACGGUCCAGACUCCUACGGGAGGCAGCAGUGGGGAAUUUUGGACAAUGGGCGCAAGCCUGAUCCAGCCAUGCCGCGUGAGUGAAGAAGGCCUUCGGGUUGUAAAGCUCUUUCGGUGAAGACGAAACGGUUAGCGCUAAUAACGCUGACUAAUGACGGUACUCACAGAAGAAGCACCGGCUAACUACGUGCCAGCAGCCGCAGUAA
This 500-nucleotide ribosomal RNA is filed under the name uncultured bacterium. RNAcentral describes it as "partial 16S ribosomal RNA". It matches the Rfam family "Bacterial small subunit ribosomal RNA", at positions 30 to 523 of the family's 1533-position model. The record is from RNAcentral.